ACGACGAACGCUUGGCGGCGUGCUUAACACAUGCAAGUCGAGCGGAAAGGCCCACUUGUGGGUACUCGAGCGGCGAACGGGUGAGUAACACGUGAGUAAUCUGCCCUUCACUUGGGGAUAACGUCCAGAAAUGGGUGCUAAUACCCGGUAUUCACGUAUGACCGCAUGGUUGUGGGUGGAAAGGUUUACUGGUGGGGGAUGUGCUCGCGGCCUAUCAGCUUGUUGGUGGGGUAAUGGCCUACCAAGGCUUUGACGGGUAGCCGGCCUGAGAGGGUGACCGGCCACACUGGGACCGAGACACGGCCCAGACUCCUACGGGAGGCAGCAGUGGGGAAUAUUGGACAAUGGGCGGAAGCCUGAUCCAGCAACGCCGCGUGAGGGAUGACGGCCUUCGGGUUGUAAACCUCUUUCACCAUUGACGAAGCUGCUCAUUUUUGUGGGUGGUGACGGUAGGUGGGGAAGAAGCACCGGCCAACUACGUGCCAGCAGCCGCGGUAAUACGUAGGGUGCGAGCGUUGUCCGGAAUUAUUGGGCGUAAAGGGCUCGUAGGCGGUUUGUCGCGUCGGGAGUGAAAACCUCGGGCUUAACUCGGGGCUUGCUUUCGAUACGGGCAGACUAGAGGUAUGCAGGGGAGAACGGAAUUCCUGGUGUAGCGGUGAAAUGCGCAGAUAUCAGGAGGAACACCGGUGGCGAAGGCGGUUCUCUGGGCAUGAUCUGACGCUGAGGAGCGAAAGUGUGGGGAGCGAACAGGAUUAGAUACCCUGGUAGUCCACACCGUAAACGUUGGGUGCUAGGUGUGGGCGGUGUCGACUCCGUCCGUGCCGAAGCUAACGCAUUAAGCACCCCGCCUGGGGAGUACGGCCGCAAGGCUAAAACUCAAAGGAAUUGACGGGGACCCGCACAAGCAGCGGAGCAUGUGGUUUAAUUCGACGCGACGCGAAGAACCUUACCAGGGCUUGACAUGCACUGGAAUGUCGUGGAAACACGGCAGCCCUUCGGGGCCAGUGCACAGGUGGUGCAUGGCUGUCGUCAGCUCGUGUCGUGAGAUGUUGGGUUAAGUCCCGCAACGAGCGCAACCCCUGUCCCAUGUUGCCAGCGCGUAAUGGCGGGGACUCAUGGGAGACUGCCGGUGACAAAUCGGAGGAAGGUGGGGAUGACGUCAAGUCAUCAUGCCCCUUAUGUCCUGGGCUACACACGUGCUACAUUGGCCGAUACAAAGGGUUGCAAACCCGUGAGGGGGAGCGAAUCCCAAAAAGUCGGUCCCGGUUCGGAUUGGAGGCUGAAACUCGCCUCCAUGAAGGCGGAGUUGCUAGUAAUCGCGGAUCAGCA
This 1329-nucleotide ribosomal RNA is filed under the name uncultured bacterium. Its description in RNAcentral is "bacterial SSU rRNA". It matches the Rfam family "Bacterial small subunit ribosomal RNA", at positions 26 to 1354 of the family's 1533-position model. The record is from RNAcentral.